GAUGAACGCUAGCGGCAGGCUUAAUACAUGCAAGUCGAGGGGCAGCAGGACUGUAGCAAUACAGUUGCUGGCGACCGGCAAACGGGUGCGGAACACGUACGCAACCUACCCAAAACUGGGGGAUAGCCCGGGGAAACCCGGAUUAAUACCUCGUAACCUUUUUAAGUGGCAUCACUUGAUAAGUAUAGCUCCGGCGGUUUUGGAUGGGCGUGCGCCUGAUUAGGUAGUUGGUGCGGGUAACGGCCCACCAAGCCUGCGAUCAGUAACUGGUGUGAGAGCACGACCAGUCACACGGGCACUGAGACACGGGCCCGACUCCUACGGGAGGCAGCAGUAAGGAAUAUUGGUCAAUGGACGCAAGUCUGAACCAGCCAUGCCGCGUGAAGGAUGAAGGUCCUCUGGAUUGUAAACUUCUUUUAUGGGGGACGAAACCCGGAUAUUCUUAUCCGAUUGGCGGUACCUCAGGAAUAAGCACCGGCUAACUCCGUG
This 489-nucleotide ribosomal RNA is filed under the name uncultured bacterium. RNAcentral describes it as "partial 16S ribosomal RNA". It matches the Rfam family "Bacterial small subunit ribosomal RNA", at positions 28 to 507 of the family's 1533-position model. The record is from RNAcentral.